Molecule: RNA transcript, 3139 nt
Organism: Passer domesticus (house sparrow)
Lineage: Eukaryota; Metazoa; Chordata; Aves; Passeriformes; Passeridae
Gene: IKBKE
Gene name: inhibitor of nuclear factor kappa B kinase subunit epsilon
Exons: 19
Source: RefSeq, a predicted model, not a curated record
UGGCAGCCCGGCGUGCCGGGAGAUGGCAGCCCGGCUGGGAAGCUUUCUCUCGAGCAGGAAGCUGAGGCGUUUCCUCCCGCAGCGCCGCGCUCGCCGGGCGGGUUUUGCAAUGCGCGGUUUCGGUUCCCGGCCCGGGAGGCGCCGCCGGCCCCGCUCCGCUCCCGAGCUCCGGCACCCGCCGGGCUGCUGCCGCCAGCCCCGGGCUGCUGGGGCUCGCUCCAUGCUCGGCCUCGGCCCCGGGGCCGCCCAGGGGAGCGACUGCCGGAGGGGUGAAGGCUGGGGCUCGGCGGGGUGAACCUCACCCGGCCGGGGGGAGCCCCGCGCUCUGCUGGACAUGCAGAGCACCCCCAACUACCUGUGGAGCACCGAGGACCUGCUGGGCCAGGGGGCCACGGCCUCUGUCUACAGAGCUCGCAACAAGAAAUCGGGGGAGCUGGUUGCUGUGAAGGUGUUUAACAGUGCCAGCUACCUGCGGCCCCAGGAGGUGCAGAUGAGAGAGUUCGAGAUGCUGCGGAAGCUGAACCACAAAAACAUUGUCAAAUUAUUUGCCGUGGAGGAGACAGGCAGCAGCAAGCAGAAGGUGCUGGUGAUGGAAUACUGCUCCAGUGGCAGCCUGCUGAACGUGCUGGAAGACCCAGCCAAUGCCUUUGGCCUGGCUGAGUCCGAGUUCCUCAUCGUGCUGCAGUGUGUGGUGGCAGGGAUGAACCACCUCCGAGAGAACGGCGUCGUGCACAGGGACAUCAAACCCGGCAACAUCAUGAGGCUGGUGGGAGAGGACGGGCAGAGCAUCUACAAGCUGACGGAUUUCGGAGCCGCCCGAGAGCUGGAGGAUGAUGAGAAGUUUGUGUCUGUCUAUGGGACAGAGGAGUACCUCCACCCUGACGUGUACGAGCGAGCCGUGCUGCGCAAGCCGCAGCAGAAGGCCUUUGGUGUCACCGUGGACCUCUGGAGCAUUGGUGUCACCUUCUACCACGCUGCCACGGGCAGCCUGCCCUUCGUGCCCUUCGGGGGACCCCGCAGGAACAAGGAGAUCAUGUACAAAAUCACCACGGAGAAGCCUCGUGGGGCCAUUGCAGGGAUCCAGAGGCAGGAGAACGGGAACAUUGAGUGGAGCUACGAGCUGCCCAUCACCUGCCGCCUCUCCACGGGGCUGAAGGACCAGCUGAUCCCCAUCUUGGCGAACAUCCUGGAGGUGGACCAGGAGAAGUGCUGGGGAUUCGACCAGUUUUUCGCAGGAACCAACGACAUUUUGCACAGGAUCGUGGUGGACGUGUUCUCCCUGCAGCAGGCGUCCUCCCAUCGCAUCUACAUCCACUCCUACAACACUACCACCAAGUUUUUAGAUGCCGUCUUCAAACAGACCAAUAUAGUCCCUCACCAUCAAGAAUAUUAUUUUGAAGGACACCUGUAUGAGCUGGAUCCCAACCUACAAGCUCAUCAUUUCUGCAGAACCACAGAGAGCAGCCCCCUGACCUUGCUGAGCACCUCAGAGCAGCCCGAGGACGUGGUGGGGGUCCGGUACCGCGACCCGGCGCUGGAGUUCCCCAAGUUCGUGCCCAGGGUGGACGUGGUGGCCGACUGCAGUGCAGCCAAGAGUGCCGUGGGUGCUGCUCACCAGACGCUGCGCGUGGGGCAGGCGCUGCGGAGGGGCCGGGAGCUGCUGGCCAGGGGCCUCCACUGGGUGAUUGGGAACCUGAGGACAGAGUGCUGCAGGAUUUUGGAGCAGAGGAGGGGGGCUCACUCCGUGCUCACCUGCCUGCAGCUCACCCAGGGGAAGACACAUGUGCUGUUCGAGGCCGUUCCUGCAGGCAGCAGGGGCCCGGCUGGGGUGGAUGUGGUGAAGGCAAGGCUGCAGAGGGUGGAAGAGGAGCUCUCCCAGUGCUCCCACAGCAUCUUUGACUUCCAGGGGGCACUGGAUGGGAUUCUGGCCGAGCUGGUGAAGGACAGGCAGCAAGUGCACGAGGACAAAAGCAUCCAGCAGAUGGAGUGCUGCCUGGAGAAGAUGCAGGUGAUCCACAAGCAGUUCAAGAAGGCCAGGACGAGUCUGAGGCUGAGCUACAACGAGGAACAAAUCCACAAGCUGGAUAAGCUGAAUUUGGGGAACCUGGCCAGGAAGGUUCUGUCCAUUUUCCAGAACGACUGUGUCCAGCAGUACCAGGAGGCCCUGGCCCUGCACAGCAGCAGGAUGAGGAAAGUUUGUGAGAUCAAGAAGCAGCUGAAGAGGCUCAGCAACCGCAUCAGUGCCUGCAGCGUGGAGAUGAUGGAGUGCCAGGACUGCCUGCAGGGCGUGGGUGUCCGGGGCUGCAGCUCCUCCUGGCCUCCUCAGGGGAGCCCUGCAGGGUUUUUUCACCCCUUGCUGCAGGUUUUUGUGGGUGAUCCAGGCUGGAGGUGCUGCUUUGUCCCACUGUGUGAGCAGGGAGUGGGGAAACCUUUGGCAAAGGUGCCAAGGAUUGCCAGGCACAGGGGGGGUGUGUGCCCAAAAAAUGGGAAUUGCAGCAGGAGGAAAGUGCUGCUUCACCUCCAGCUGCCACAGCAACCCCCUGGCAGUGUGCUUGGGUUAUUUUAUUUUUUUAUUCCAUUUGUCCUGGAGCAGUGCUGGUGUGACCCCCUGGGUGCUGCUGAGUGUUUGGCCCCAGGUCAGCCCAUGGACAGCCCCUGCUGUGGGCACUGCCUGCACUCUCCAUCUCCAUCUCAUCUCCACAGGCUCUGGACAGGCUUCUCCAGGUGGAGCAAUGGAAUUUGGCCCCUCCUGUGCCUUCCCCCGUGCCCCUGAGCCAGGCCUGCCAGGAGAUGGCUCUGCGGAUGCAGGAGCUGCUGCAGCAGAUGAGGUCGGUCUCCUGCGAUCUGCAGCUCAACAACAGCAUCAUCGAGCGGUUGGGUGGGGCUGCUCCUGCUCCCAGCGUUUGAGGGACAUGGUGAGGGUGCAGCUGCUGAAGCAAAACUUCCCAGCAGAGGGGAUUCACAGCACCUGGAGCCACAGAGCUGCUGCAUUUCCGUGCCCUGGGAGCUCUCCGUGUCCUACCUCUGUGCCCCAGCACUUUGCACGUUCUCCCCCCUCAGCCCCGAGUGUCCUGAGCCUCUGGAAGUUUGGCCAGAAAACCGAGUGGGGUUUUAUAUUUUUCUUUAAAAAAAAAAUGCU